UAUUAGGUUGGUGCGAAAGUAAUUGCAGUUUUUGCUAUUGAAAGUAAUUGCAAAAACCGCAAUUACUUUUGCACCAACCUAACA
This 84-nucleotide microRNA precursor is filed under the name Chlorocebus sabaeus (green monkey). RNAcentral describes it as "mir-548 microRNA precursor family". It matches the Rfam family "mir-548 microRNA precursor family". The record is from Rfam by way of RNAcentral. Lineage: Eukaryota; Metazoa; Chordata; Mammalia; Primates; Cercopithecidae. RNAcentral also lists the same sequence under 4 other names.